Long non-coding RNA from Bradysia coprophila, 152 nucleotides. The record is from RefSeq and is a predicted model, not a curated record. NCBI's taxonomy places the organism in Eukaryota, Metazoa, Arthropoda, Insecta, Diptera, Sciaridae.
CAUAAGAAACAAACAAUAACGGUGGAAGACACAUAAGAAGUUACAUUUUCAACAAUUGCAAUCCAAUCGACGUUAUUCAUUCCACAUGCGAUUUACACGUUAUAAUACAUAUUCAUUCGUAAAUGUCGUAACGUUGGUAAUGCGUGUGGAAU